ACUCCUACGGGAGGCAGCAGUGGGGAAUAUUGCACAAUGGGGGAAAGCCCAUCGAUGCAGCCAUGCCGCGUGUGUGAAGAAGGCCUUCGGGUUGUAAGAGCACUUUCAGUGGGGAGGAAAGGUUGUUGGUUAAUACCUAACAGCUGUGACGUUACCCACAGAAGAAGCACCGGCUAACUCCGUGCCAGCAGCCGCGGUAAUACGGAGGGUGCAAGCGUUAAUCGGAAUUACUGGGCGUAAAGCGUGCGCAGGCGGUCUGUUAAGCGAGAUGUGAAAGCCCC
This 281-nucleotide ribosomal RNA is filed under the name uncultured bacterium. RNAcentral's name for it is "partial 16S ribosomal RNA". It matches the Rfam family "Bacterial small subunit ribosomal RNA", at positions 335 to 604 of the family's 1533-position model. The record is from RNAcentral.